RNAcentral lists this ribosomal RNA (460 nucleotides) under uncultured bacterium. RNAcentral describes it as "partial 16S ribosomal RNA". It matches the Rfam family "Bacterial small subunit ribosomal RNA", at positions 338 to 795 of the family's 1533-position model. The record is from RNAcentral.
CCUACGGGUGGCAGCAGUGAGGAAUAUUGGUCAAUGGCCGUAAGCCUGAACCAGCCAAGUCGCGUGAGGGAUGAAGGUGCCAUGGAUCGUAAACCUCUUUUGUCAGGGGAUAAAAUGUGGCUCGUGUGCUUGAUUGUGGGUACCUUAUGAAAAAGGAUCGGCUAACUCCGUGCCAGCAGCCGCGGUAAUACGGAGGAUCCGAGCGUUAUCCGGAUUUAUUGGGUUUAAAGGGUGCGUAGGCGGGCUUUUAAGUCAGCGGUAAAAGGCUGUGGCUCAACCAUCGCAGAGCCGUUGAAACUGGGUGUCUUGAGAUUGCUUGAGGCAUGCGGAAUGCGCGGUGUAGCGGUGAAAUGCUUAGAUAUUGCGCAGAACCCCGAUUGCGAAGGCAGCAUGCCAGGGCCUGUCUGACGCUGAGGCACGAAAGCGUGGGUAUCAAACAGGAUUAGAUACCCUUGUAGUC